RNAcentral lists this ribosomal RNA (406 nucleotides) under uncultured bacterium. Its description in RNAcentral is "partial 16S ribosomal RNA". It matches the Rfam family "Bacterial small subunit ribosomal RNA", at positions 30 to 526 of the family's 1533-position model. The record is from RNAcentral.
AUUGAACGCUGGCGGCAGGCUUAACACAUGCAAGUCGAGCGAGCGGCGGACGGGUGAGUAAUGUCUGGGAAACUGCCUGAUGGAGGGAGAUAACUACUGGAACCGGUAGCUAAUACCGCAUACCGUCCGAUCGGCCCAGAGGGGAUUAGCUAGUAGGUGGGGUAAUGGCUCAUCUAGGCGAAGAUCCCUAGCUGGUCUGAGAGGCUGACCAGCCACACUGGAACUGAGACACGGUCCAGACUCCUACGGGAGGCAGCAGUGGGGAAUAUUGCACAAUGGGCGCAAGCCUGAUGCAGCCACGCCGCGUGUGUGAAGAAGGCCUUCGGGUUGUAAAGCACUGUCAGCGAGGAGGCGUUACUCGCAGAAGAAGCACCGGCUAACUCCGUGCCAGCAGCCGCGGUAAUAC